AAAGAUUCCCUCAGUAACGGCGAGUGAAGUGGGAUUUAGCCCAGCACCGAAUCCUAGCGAGCGUUGCUUCGCAUGGACCUGUGGUGUUUGGGGCCUUGGCUUUCGGCUGGCGUCGGCGCGCCUCAGUUCCAUUGAAAGGGCAGUUGCUCCAGAGCGGGUGCCAGACCCUUGUGUUGCGCGCGGCUGUGUCGAAUGCUCUAGAGGCCCCUCGAGUCGGGUUGUUUGAGAAUGCAGCCCAAAGACGGUGGUAAGCUCCAUCGAAGGCUAAACAUUGCCACGAGUCCGAUAGCGAACAAGUACCGUGAGGGAACGUUGAAAAGGACUUCGAAGAGAGAGUUCAAGAGUACGUGAAACCGCCUAAAGGGAAACGAGUGGCUCCGCAUUGUCGGCCUGCGGCGUUCAGCUUGCGAUUCUCGAACGGCUGUCCGGCCAGGUGUCCAGCACGACAGUCCUCUCACGGGGGCUGUGCGGCGGCCUGGUCGUGAAGUGUGCCGGAGAGCGCGUGCAUUCGCCGCGAGGCAGGGCGUCACGAUCGCUUCUCGCUGCUCGACAGUCGGCGAUGCCGGCGCGUUAGACAGAAUCCGUUCGCGUGAGUCUGUCGAACCGCGCGGCGCGCCUUCCCGGGUAGUGGGGAGCGUGUAACGAUCGCAGCAGCUCUCGCAGUUGCUGCUUUGCAUCGGUGGCGAAUGAGUCGGUCUGCUACUC
RNAcentral lists this ribosomal RNA (705 nucleotides) under Cocculinidae sp. MNHN IM 2013-40757. RNAcentral's name for it is "partial large subunit ribosomal RNA". It matches the Rfam family "Eukaryotic large subunit ribosomal RNA", at positions 70 to 645 of the family's 3401-position model. Lineage: Eukaryota; Metazoa; Mollusca; Gastropoda; Cocculinidae. The record is from RNAcentral.